RNA transcript from Cryptomeria japonica (Japanese cedar), 745 nucleotides. It is a transcript of the gene named ABC transporter G family member 35-like, with no coding region annotated. The transcript has 4 exons. The record is from RefSeq and is a predicted model, not a curated record. NCBI's taxonomy places the organism in Eukaryota, Viridiplantae, Streptophyta, Pinopsida, Cupressales, Cupressaceae.
AUUAAAGAAAAUAAUAUCUACGUGUCCAUGUAUAUCUCUACUUGUGAAGCUCUUGGGAUGCCUCAAGAAACGAUUCCAGAAGAAGAUGAAGAGGGAAGCCAUGCGGAUAAACAAACUCCACAAGAAAUAAAAAUUAUCUCCUCAGUUGGAAGAGGUAAGAAGGGAAUGGUGUUGCCUUUCCAACCCUUGGCAAUGGCAUUCAAAAAUGUCAGUUACUUCAUCGACAUGCCUGCGGUUGAUGCAAUGUGACAUAUAUUAUGUUCAAGCUCAAGAGCAGUGUGUACAUUGAAUAUAAUUCACACACCAUGGUUAAUAGAAAGUGGUUUUGUUAACGAUCAUGCUCUCGACCUUAUAAAAAGGUUUCUGACAAACAAGAUUAUUGAUGUCCUUCUUUAUGUGGAUCGGCUAGAUAGUUAUCAAGUUGAUAACUUGGAUAAACAAAUCCAAAAGGUUAUUUAUGAUACUUUUCAAAAACAAUUAUGGUAGGCAAGCUUGGUGAUCUUUACACAUGCUCAACUCUCUCUUCCAGAUGGCUUAAAUUUUGCUAACUUUAUUCAAAGGAGAUCAGCGGCAUUGCAUUAUGCAAUUCUUGAAGUAACUGGGUUCAAGAAAUCUGAUAUCCAGGUGACUUACAAUAAUACUAUGCAUGCUUUCUACAAAUGCUAGUAAGCUAUUACAAUUUCAUGAGCCAUUCAUUCUAAUGGAAACUCAUGCACACAUUGGAAGCUCUUCAUGCUCCAACCCC